CCUACGGGAGGCAGCAGUGGGGAAUUUUCCGCAAUGGGCGAAAGCCUGACGGAGCAAUACCGCGUGAGGGAGGAAGGCUCUUGGGUUGUAAACCUCUUUUCUUAAGGAAGAAAAAAAUGACGGUACUUAAGGAAUAAGCAUCGGCUAACUCCGUGCCAGCAGCCGCGGUAAUACGGAGGAUGCAAGCGUUAUCCGGAAUUAUUGGGCGUAAAGCGUCCGUAGGUGGUUUUUCAAGUCUGCUGUCAAAGACCGUGGCUUAACCACGGAAAGGCAGUGGAAA
Molecule: ribosomal RNA, 280 nt
Filed under: uncultured cyanobacterium
Lineage: Bacteria; Bacillati; Cyanobacteriota
Description: partial 16S ribosomal RNA
Rfam family: Bacterial small subunit ribosomal RNA
Source: RNAcentral